AGUGAACGCUGGCGGUAGGCCUAACACAUGCAAGUCGAACGGCAGCACAGUAAGAGCUUGCUCUUACGGGUGGCGAGUGGCGGACGGGUGAGGAAUACAUCGGAAUCUACUUUUUCGUGGGGGAUAACGUAGGGAAACUUACGCUAAUACCGCAUACGACCUACGGGUGAAAGCAGGGGAUCUUCGGACCUUGCGCGAUUGAAUGAGCCGAUGUCGGAUUAGCUAGUUGGCGGGGUAAAGGCCCACCAAGGCGACGAUCCGUAGCUGGUCUGAGAGGAUGAUCAGCGACAUUGGAACGGGGACACGGUCCAGACUCCUACGGGAGGCAGCAGUGGGGAAUAUUGGGCAAUGGGCGCAAGCCUGAUCCAGCCAUACCGCGUGGGUGAAGAAGGCCUUCGGGUUGUAAAGCCCUUUUGUUGGGAAAGAAAAGCAGCAGGUUAAUACCCCGCUGUUCUGACGGUACCCAAAGAAUAAGCACCGGCUAACUUCGUG
RNAcentral lists this ribosomal RNA (492 nucleotides) under uncultured bacterium. Its description in RNAcentral is "partial 16S ribosomal RNA". It matches the Rfam family "Bacterial small subunit ribosomal RNA", at positions 29 to 507 of the family's 1533-position model. The record is from RNAcentral.